This 484-nucleotide ribosomal RNA is filed under the name uncultured bacterium. Its description in RNAcentral is "partial 16S ribosomal RNA". It matches the Rfam family "Bacterial small subunit ribosomal RNA", at positions 28 to 523 of the family's 1533-position model. The record is from RNAcentral.
GACGAACGCUGGCGGCGUGCUUAACACAUGCAAGUCGAACGAUGAAGCUGGAGCUUGCUCUGGUGGAUUAGUGGCGAACGGGUGAGUAACACGUGAGUAACCUGCCCUUGACUCUGGGAUAAGCGCUGGAAACGGCGUCUAAUACCGGAUACGAGCUUCCACCGCAUAGUGAGUUGCUGGAAAGAAUUUCGGUCAAGGAUGGACUCGCGGCCUAUCAGCUUGUUGGUGAGGUAACGGCUCACCAAGGCGACGACGGGUAGCCGGCCUGAGAGGGUGACCGGCCACACUGGGACUGAGACACGGCCCAGACUCCUACGGGAGGCAGCAGUGGGGAAUAUUGCACAAUGGGCGCAAGCCUGAUGCAGCAACGCCGCGUGAGGGACGAAGGCCUUCGGGUCGUAAACCUCUUUUAGCAGGGAAGAAGCGAAAGUGACGGUACCUGCAGAAAAAGCACCGGCUAACUACGUGCCAGCAGCCGCGGUAA